GAUGAACGCUGGCGGCGUGCCUAAUACAUGCAAGUCGAGCGAACAGACGAGGAGCUUGCUCCUCUGACGUUAGCGGCGGACGGGUGAGUAACACGUGGAUAACCUACCUAUAAGACUGGGAUAACUUCGGGAAACCGGAGCUAAUACCGGAUAAUAUAUUGAACCGCAUGGUUCAAUAGUGAAAGACGGUUUUGCUGUCACUUAUAGAUGGAUCCGCGCCGCAUUAGCUAGUUGGUAAGGUAACGGCUUACCAAGGCGACGAUGCGUAGCCGACCUGAGAGGGCGAUCGGCCACACUGGAACUGAGACACGGUCUAGACUCCUACGGGAGGCAGCAGUAGGGAAUCUUCCGCAGUGGGCGAAAGCCUGACGGAGCAACGCCGCGUGAGUGAUGAAGGUCUUCGGAUCGUAAAACUCUGUUAUUAGGGAAGAACAAAUGUGUAAGUAACUAUGCACGUCUUGACGGUACCUAAUCAGAAAGCCACGGCUAACUACGUG
RNAcentral lists this ribosomal RNA (497 nucleotides) under uncultured bacterium. RNAcentral describes it as "partial 16S ribosomal RNA". It matches the Rfam family "Bacterial small subunit ribosomal RNA", at positions 28 to 507 of the family's 1533-position model. The record is from RNAcentral.